Molecule: ribosomal RNA, 425 nt
Filed under: uncultured bacterium
Lineage: Bacteria
Description: partial 16S ribosomal RNA
Rfam family: Bacterial small subunit ribosomal RNA
Source: RNAcentral
GUGGGGAAUCUUGCGCAAUGGGCGAAAGCCUGACGCAGCCAUGCCGCGUGAAUGAUGAAGGUCUUAGGAUUGUAAAAUUCUUUCACCGGGGACGAUAAUGACGGUACCCGGAGAAGAAGCUCCGGCUAACUUCGUGCCAGCAGCCGCGGUAAUACGAAGGGGGCUAGCGUUGCUCGGAAUUACUGGGCGUAAAGGGCGCGUAGGCGGACAGCGUAGUCAGAGGUGAAAGCCCAGGGCUCAACCUUGGAAUUGCAUUUGAUACUGGCUGUCUUGAGUUUGGGAGAGGUGAGUGGAACUCCGAGUGUAGAGGUGAAAUUCGUAGAUAUUCGGAAGAACACCAGUGGCGAAGGCGACUCACUGGCCCAAUACUGACGCUGAGGCGCGAAAGCGUGGGGAGCAAACAGGAUUAGAUACCCGUGUAGUCC